GACGAACGCUGGCGGCGUGCUUAACACAUGCAAGUCGAACGGAAAGGCCCUGCUUUUGUGGGGUGCUCGAGUGGCGAACGGGUGAGUAACACGUGAGUAACCUGCCCUUGACUUUGGGAUAACUUCAGGAAACUGGGGCUAAUACCGGAUAGGAGCUCCUGCUGCAUGGUGGGGGUUGGAAAGUUUCGGCGGUUGGGGAUGGACUCGCGGCUUAUCAGCUUGUUGGUGGGGUAGUUGCUUACCAAGGCUUUGACGGGUAGCCGGCCUGAGAGGGUGACCAGCGACAUUGGUACUGAGAUACGGCCCAGACGCCUACGGGAGGCAGCAGUGGGGAAUAUUGCGCAAUGGGCGGAAGCCUGUUGCAGCAACGCCGCGUGCGGAAAGACGGCCUUCGGGUUGUAAACCGCUUUCGCCUGUGACGAAGCGGGAGUGACGGUAAUGGGUAAAAAAGCACCGGCUAACUACGUG
RNAcentral lists this ribosomal RNA (468 nucleotides) under uncultured bacterium. RNAcentral's name for it is "partial 16S ribosomal RNA". It matches the Rfam family "Bacterial small subunit ribosomal RNA", at positions 28 to 507 of the family's 1533-position model. The record is from RNAcentral.